CGGGUGAGUAAUACAUCGGAACGUGUCUUCUAGUGGGGGAUAACUGCCCGAAAGGGCAGCUAAUACCGCAUGAGACCUGAGGGUGAAAGCGGGGGAUCGCAAGACCUCGCGCUGGAAGAGCGGCCGAUGUCCGAUUAGCUAGUUGGUGAGGUAAAGGCUCACCAAGGCGACGAUCGGUAGCUAGUCUGAGAGGACGACCAGCCACACUGGGACUGAGACACGGCCCAG
Molecule: ribosomal RNA, 228 nt
Filed under: uncultured bacterium
Lineage: Bacteria
Description: partial 16S ribosomal RNA
Rfam family: Bacterial small subunit ribosomal RNA
Source: RNAcentral